RNAcentral lists this small RNA (320 nucleotides) under Arabidopsis thaliana (thale cress). RNAcentral describes it as "ATSL026630". Lineage: Eukaryota; Viridiplantae; Streptophyta; Magnoliopsida; Brassicales; Brassicaceae. The record is from RNAcentral.
UUUUUUGGCUCAGAAAAAAUUUGUUACGGAACAAAAAAUUUGGCGGGAAACUUUUUUUUUGGCGGGAAAAAAGUUCGGCGGGAAAUCUUUUUUGGCGGGAAAAAAAAAUUUUGGCGCCAAUAAAUUUGGCGGGAAAAGUUCAGUUUCCAAUUACAUGUUUCUAUUAGAUGAGGGUAAUUUGGUCAUUUUGUUCAAGAGAAAGGGUAUUUUUAAAAAUGGACAACAUAAAAGGGUAGUAAAAAAAUGAUAGUUUUACAAAUCUCCCUCUAUUUUUUGACUUUCAAGACAAUUGAUAAUACAUGCAUAUUCAUUUUCACAAC